Long non-coding RNA from Suricata suricatta (meerkat), 445 nucleotides. RefSeq lists it as uncharacterized. The transcript has 4 exons. NCBI's taxonomy places the organism in Eukaryota, Metazoa, Chordata, Mammalia, Carnivora, Herpestidae. The record is from RefSeq and is a predicted model, not a curated record.
CCGCUCUGGCUUCUGACAGUUACAGCGGUGAGAGAGAUGUUCCAAGCCUAAAGGAAAGAAGGAUGCAACGUCACCAUCUGGCAUGAAAGGUGGACAAUCAAGAAAGAGGAGGACAAGGAGGAGAGAGACAGAAAGAAAGGUGGAAAAUCGACUCGAAUUAUAGGUUCUGGGAAAACGGAUCCUGAUUUUUAUUUGGUAUCUGGGGAGAAGUCCAGAAAUGUGUACUUUUUCAAAUCGUCUCCAAGUGAUUCCAGUAUGCACUGAGGCAAGAAGCUGGCAAUGGGGAGUUACAGCAAGAGAUAAUAGGAAUUCUGAUACGGAAUGUGCAGAGCUCAACUGCAAGUAAGCUAUAAAGCAGCCUUCGGGUGGUAGUGCCGUGUGCUGCUGCUGCUGUAGCUGGGAUACCUGAACAUCCCAUAUUGACUUCUCAGCUGUUUCAUCAUCC